AUACCGCGUGAGGGAGGAAGGCUCUUGGGUUGUAAACCUCUUUUCUCAGGGAAGAAUGAUGACGGUACCUGAGGAAUAAGCAUCGGCUAACUCCGUGCCAGCAGCCGCGGUAAUACGGAGGAUGCAAGCGUUAUCCGGAAUGAUUGGGCGUAAAGCGUCCGCAGGUGGCAAUGUAAGUCUGCUGUCAAAGCGUCUGGCUCAACCAGAUAAAGGCAGUGGAAACUACAUAGCUAGAGUAAGGUAGGGGUAGAGGGAAUUCCUGGUGUAGCGGUGAAAUGCGUAGAGAUCAGGAAGAACACCGGUGGCGAAAGCGCUCUGCUGGACCUUAACUGACACUGAGGGACGAAAGCUAGGGGAGCGAAUGGGAUUAGAUACCCCAGUAGUCAA
This 387-nucleotide ribosomal RNA is filed under the name uncultured cyanobacterium. RNAcentral's name for it is "bacterial SSU rRNA". It matches the Rfam family "Bacterial small subunit ribosomal RNA", at positions 394 to 797 of the family's 1533-position model. The record is from RNAcentral. Lineage: Bacteria; Bacillati; Cyanobacteriota.